Long non-coding RNA from Rhineura floridana, 1301 nucleotides. RefSeq lists it as uncharacterized. NCBI's taxonomy places the organism in Eukaryota, Metazoa, Chordata, Lepidosauria, Squamata, Rhineuridae. The record is from RefSeq and is a predicted model, not a curated record. The transcript has 3 exons.
AUACAGCGUUUGCAGUGACAAGGAAGAAACCCAGGAUUGCUGAGAGGUGGCUUCGUAUAUAUAGAUGUGUGUCGUUCCCACUGAACUCUGUGGGAAUCACUUUUGAAGAGACAUGCAUAUUAUUCUGCUGACUCUUAGAGGACAGGAAGGUCAUGUGCAAAUGAAAUUGAAAAUAUUUCAAACCCAGUUCAAAGAUUCAUGGGUCAAGGGUUCAAUGGUUUUGAUGCUGUAGUUGCCAGGAUACAUGAAGAAAUUAAAAGCAAGGUGCUGGUUUCGGUGUACGGAGCCCUACACAACUUGGGACAAGGUUACUUGAAAGGUCAUCUUACCCCUUACAUAUCCUGUUGAUCACUGCGCUCUGCAGACCAAGACCAGAAGGUGCCGGAAAUAUCUGCAAGAUUUUUAGCAGAUGCCGUUAGAACAAGAUCUUCAAUGAUUUUUUCUGGACUGGAAAGUCAUCUAUCAACAUCAGAGUGAUGGAAGUGAUCCCAUCAGGGAGAAUAUAUGUGCCCUUAAAAUUUACAAUUCAUGAGGAUUAUCGCUAUCCCACUGGACCAUACCUGAAUCCUCUCCUGUCUGGUCGAGUCCCCAUAACAAUUUUGGAAGUUGGCACAUCCCCAUUUCUCCUGAGCAACAAACCGGAGCAGAGAUAUGGAGGGUCCUCAGGUUUUAGCUUUCCUCAACUUUGGUCUGAAAUUCAUUUGCCACCACUGAUGCAACCAUGCUCAUUUCUUUACAAUCCCGGAACAAGAUCACCCCUUCAUUGAAUGGGAACAUGAUCAUCACAGGAAUGGAACAGAACGGUACCCGAAUUGCACAAAAUAGAUUCACAGGUGAUGAUUGUAUGGGUUUUGGUGCCAGAAAUGUUGAGCCUCUCCAUCCAGAUAAACAAGAGCAGACUGGAUCAUCACAUCUGUCACUCAUACCUACACCUGCCUGCUCAAAGCACCUCUCAGGUUUCCCUCCAACUCUCUUCGAUAUGGAGUUUUUUGCUUCCUUUCUUUCAAGCCAACCUGAAGGCAUUCUGACCAAAAUUCAAGGGAUCCCAAAUUCACUGCUCAUUCUUUGAUGUAUCUCUGAAUAUUCCUCAGGUCUGCAAGAUUUAUGAUGCUUCCAUUUUCCUGAGAAGCUGUCAUUCUCUGUGUACUUAUGCCUUGUCUCAUUUUACUCCUCAUUCAUCUGUCAUUUCACUCUUCUGCACAAAAUGUAUUGUUCACCUUUCUGAAGCUGCUCAACAUGGAAAGGCUUCCCUGCACUCCUCUUUCCCCUACAAUAAACCUCAUCUAUCUGCAUCAAAACGA